RNAcentral lists this ribosomal RNA (253 nucleotides) under uncultured bacterium. Its description in RNAcentral is "partial 16S ribosomal RNA". It matches the Rfam family "Bacterial small subunit ribosomal RNA", at positions 524 to 776 of the family's 1533-position model. The record is from RNAcentral.
UACGUAGGGGGCAAGCGUUGUCCGGAAUCAUUGGGCGUAAAGCGUGCGUAGGUGGUUUGUUAAGUCCGAUGUGAAAGCCCUGGGCUCAACCUGGGAAUGGCAUUGGAUACUGGCAGGCUAGAGUGCGGUAGAGGGCAGUGGAAUUCCCGGUGUAGCAGUGAAAUGCGUAGAGAUCGGGAGGAACAUCUGUGGCGAAGGCGACUGCCUGGACCAGCACUGACACUGAGGCACGAAAGCGUGGGGAGCAAACAGG